RNAcentral lists this ribosomal RNA (623 nucleotides) under uncultured bacterium. RNAcentral's name for it is "bacterial SSU rRNA". It matches the Rfam family "Bacterial small subunit ribosomal RNA", at positions 9 to 546 of the family's 1533-position model. The record is from RNAcentral.
AGAGUUUGAUCCUGGCUCAGAGCGAACGUUAGCGGCGCGCCUAACACAUGCAAGUCGAGCGCGAAAGGGAGCAAUCCUGAGUAAAGCGGCGCACGGGUGCGUAACACGUAGAUAAUCUGCCCUUUGGCGGGGGAUAACGUUCCGAAAGGAGCGCUAAUACCGCAUACAGCAAUCUGGGGUUCGCCUUGGAUUGGCAAAGGUUGGGACCCGCAAGGGCCAAUCGCCAAAGAGAGGAGUCUGCGGCCCAUCAGCUAGUUGGUAAGGUAAUGGCUUACCAAGGCAAAGACGGGUAGCUGGUCUGAGAGGAUGAUCAGCCACACUGGUACUGGAACACGGACCAGACUCCUACGGGAGGCAGCAGUGGGGAGUCUUGGUCAAUGGGCGCAAGCCUGAACCAGCGACGCCGCGUGAGUGAUGAAGGCCUUCGGGUUGUAAAGCUCUGUGGGGAUGGGACGAAGGAGCUCAAUCUAUUAGGUUGAGUAGUUGACGGUAACUCCUUAGCAAGCACCGGCUAACUCUGUGCCCUGCAUCCGCGGUUAAGACAGAUGGGGUGCAAACAGUUGCCUCNGAAAUUACCAUGGGGCCGUUNAAGGCCGCGUUGUUCAAGGCCCGGAAUNGCAUUU